This 253-nucleotide ribosomal RNA is filed under the name uncultured bacterium. RNAcentral describes it as "partial 16S ribosomal RNA". It matches the Rfam family "Bacterial small subunit ribosomal RNA", at positions 524 to 776 of the family's 1533-position model. The record is from RNAcentral.
AACGUAGGAGACAAACGUUAUCCGGAGUUACUGGGCGUAAAGGGCGUGUAGGUGGUUUCGUAAGUCUGGCGUGAAAUUUCUCGGCUUAACCGAGGCAGGUCGUCGGAUACUGCGGAACUUGAGGACGGUAGAGGCGUGUGGAAUUCCGGGUGUAGUGGUGAAAUGCGUAGAGAUCCGGAGGAACACCAGCGGCGAAGGCGACACGCUGGGCCGUACCUGACACUGAUGCGCGACAGCAUGGGGAGCAAACAGG